RNAcentral lists this ribosomal RNA (2792 nucleotides) under Enterobacter sp. DC3. RNAcentral's name for it is "bacterial LSU rRNA". It matches the Rfam family "Bacterial large subunit ribosomal RNA". The record is from RNAcentral. Lineage: Bacteria; Pseudomonadati; Pseudomonadota; Gammaproteobacteria; Enterobacterales; Enterobacteriaceae.
UUAAGCGACUAAGCGUACACGGUGGAUGCCCUGGCAGUCAGAGGCGAUGAAGGACGUGCUAAUCUGCGAAAAGCGCCGGCGAGGUGAUAUGAACCUUUGACCCGGCGAUGUCCGAAUGGGGAAACCCAGUGCAAUUCGUUGCACUAUCGUUAACUGAAUACAUAGGUUAACGAGGCGAACCGGGGGAACUGAAACAUCUAAGUACCCCGAGGAAAAGAAAUCAACCGAGAUUCCCCCAGUAGCGGCGAGCGAACGGGGAGCAGCCCAGAGUCUGAAUCAGCUUGUGUGUUAGUGGAAGCGUCUGGAAAGUCGCACGGUACAGGGUGAUAGUCCCGUACACGAAAACACACAGGUUGUGAACUCGAAGAGUAGGGCGGGACACGUGGUAUCCUGUCUGAAUAUGGGGGGACCAUCCUCCAAGGCUAAAUACUCCUGACUGACCGAUAGUGAACCAGUACCGUGAGGGAAAGGCGAAAAGAACCCCGGCGAGGGGAGUGAAAAAGAACCUGAAACCGUGUACGUACAAGCAGUGGGAGCACCUUCGUGGUGUGACUGCGUACCUUUUGUAUAAUGGGUCAGCGACUUAUAUUCUGUAGCAAGGUUAACCGUAUAGGGGAGCCGAAGGGAAACCGAGUCUUAACUGGGCGUUAAGUUGCAGGGUAUAGACCCGAAACCCGGUGAUCUAGCCAUGGGCAGGUUGAAGGUUGGGUAACACUAACUGGAGGACCGAACCGACUAAUGUUGAAAAAUUAGCGGAUGACUUGUGGCUGGGGGUGAAAGGCCAAUCAAACCGGGAGAUAGCUGGUUCUCCCCGAAAGCUAUUUAGGUAGCGCCUCGUGAACUCAUCUUCGGGGGUAGAGCACUGUUUCGGCUAGGGGGCCAUCCCGGCUUACCAACCCGAUGCAAACUACGAAUACCGAAGAAUGUUAUCACGGGAGACACACGGCGGGUGCUAACGUCCGUCGUGAAGAGGGAAACAACCCAGACCGCCAGCUAAGGUCCCAAAGUCAUGGUUAAGUGGGAAACGAUGUGGGAAGGCACAGACAGCCAGGAUGUUGGCUUAGAAGCAGCCAUCAUUUAAAGAAAGCGUAAUAGCUCACUGGUCGAGUCGGCCUGCGCGGAAGAUGUAACGGGGCUAAACCAUGCACCGAAGCUGCGGCAGCGACACUUAGGUGUUGUUGGGUAGGGGAGCGUUCUGUAAGCCGUUGAAGGUGUGCUGUGAGGCAUGCUGGAGGUAUCAGAAGUGCGAAUGCUGACAUAAGUAACGAUAAAGCGGGUGAAAAGCCCGCUCGCCGGAAGACCAAGGGUUCCUGUCCAACGUUAAUCGGGGCAGGGUGAGUCGACCCCUAAGGCGAGGCCGAAAGGCGUAGUCGAUGGGAAACAGGUUAAUAUUCCUGUACUUGGUGUUACUGCGAAGGGGGGACGGAGAAGGCUAUGUUAGCCGGGCGACGGUUGUCCCGGUUUAAGCAUGUAGGCGGAGGUUCCAGGUAAAUCCGGUACCUUAUUAACGCUGAGGUGUGAUGACGAGGCACUACGGUGCUGAAGUAACAAAUGCCCUGCUUCCAGGAAAAGCCUCUAAGCAUCAGGUAACAUCAAAUCGUACCCCAAACCGACACAGGUGGUCAGGUAGAGAAUACCAAGGCGCUUGAGAGAACUCGGGUGAAGGAACUAGGCAAAAUGGUGCCGUAACUUCGGGAGAAGGCACGCUGAUAUGUAGGUGAAGCCCCUGCGGGUGGAGCUGAAAUCAGUCGAAGAUACCAGCUGGCUGCAACUGUUUAUUAAAAACACAGCACUGUGCAAACACGAAAGUGGACGUAUACGGUGUGACGCCUGCCCGGUGCCGGAAGGUUAAUUGAUGGGGUUAGCGGUAACGCGAAGCUCUUGAUCGAAGCCCCGGUAAACGGCGGCCGUAACUAUAACGGUCCUAAGGUAGCGAAAUUCCUUGUCGGGUAAGUUCCGACCUGCACGAAUGGCGUAAUGAUGGCCAGGCUGUCUCCACCCGAGACUCAGUGAAAUUGAACUCGCUGUGAAGAUGCAGUGUACCCGCGGCAAGACGGAAAGACCCCGUGAACCUUUACUAUAGCUUGACACUGAACACUGGUCCUUGAUGUGUAGGAUAGGUGGGAGGCUUUGAAGCGUGGACGCCAGUCUGCGUGGAGCCGUCCUUGAAAUACCACCCUUUAAUGGCUGGUGUUCUAACGUAGACCCGUAAUCCGGGUUGCGGACAGUGUCUGGUGGGUAGUUUGACUGGGGCGGUCUCCUCCCAAAGAGUAACGGAGGAGCACGAAGGUUAGCUAAUCCUGGUCGGACAUCAGGAGGUUAGUGCAAUGGCAUAAGCUAGCUUGACUGCGAGAGUGACGGCUCGAGCAGGUGCGAAAGCAGGUCAUAGUGAUCCGGUGGUUCUGAAUGGAAGGGCCAUCGCUCAACGGAUAAAAGGUACUCCGGGGAUAACAGGCUGAUACCGCCCAAGAGUUCAUAUCGACGGCGGUGUUUGGCACCUCGAUGUCGGCUCAUCACAUCCUGGGGCUGAAGUAGGUCCCAAGGGUAUGGCUGUUCGCCAUUUAAAGUGGUACGCGAGCUGGGUUUAGAACGUCGUGAGACAGUUCGGUCCCUAUCUGCCGUGGGCGCUGGAGAAUUGAGGGGGGCUGCUCCUAGUACGAGAGGACCGGAGUGGACGCAUCACUGGUGUUCGGGUUGUCAUGCCAAUGGCACUGCCCGGUAGCUAAAUGCGGAAAAGAUAAGUGCUGAAAGCAUCUAAGCACGAAACUUGCCCCGAGAUGAGUUCUCCCUGA